GGACAGCUCAACGGUAGAACAUCUGCUUUGCAUGCAGAAGGUCCCAGGCUCAAUCCCCAGCAGCAUCU
Molecule: non-coding RNA, 68 nt
Organism: Podarcis lilfordi (Lilford's wall lizard)
Lineage: Eukaryota; Metazoa; Chordata; Lepidosauria; Squamata; Lacertidae
Source: the annotation of a GenBank genome assembly